This 159-nucleotide ribosomal RNA is filed under the name Diplostephium foliosissimum. RNAcentral's name for it is "5.8S ribosomal RNA". It matches the Rfam family "5.8S ribosomal RNA". From Rfam's summary of the family: 5.8S ribosomal RNA (5.8S rRNA) is a component of the large subunit of the eukaryotic ribosome. It is transcribed by RNA polymerase I as part of the 45S precursor that also contains 18S and 28S rRNA. Functionally, it is thought that 5.8S rRNA may be involved in ribosome translocation. Lineage: Eukaryota; Viridiplantae; Streptophyta; Magnoliopsida; Asterales; Asteraceae. RNAcentral also lists the same sequence under 1 other name. The record is from RNAcentral.
GACUCUCGGCAACGGAUAUCUCGGCUCACGCAUCGAUGAAGAACGUAGCAAAAUGCGAUACUUGGUGUGAAUUGCAGAAUCCCGUGAACCAUCGAGUUUUUGAACGCAAGUUGCGCCCGAAGCCAUUCGGCCGAGGGCAUGUCUGCCUGGGCGUCACGC